GUGAGUAAUGUCUGGGAAACUGCCCGAUGGAGGGGGAUAACUACUGGAAACGGUAGCUAAUACCGCAUAACGUCGCAAGACCAAAGAGGGGGACCUUCGGGCCUCUUGCCAUCGGAUGUGCCCAGAUGGGAUUAGCUAGUAGGUGGGGUAACGGCUCACCUAGGCGACGAUCCCUAGCUGGUCUGAGAGGAUGACCAGCCACACUGGAACUGAGACACGGUCCAGACUCCUACGGGAGGCAGCAGUGGGGAAUAUUGCACAAUGGGCGCAAGCCUGAUGCAGCCAUGCCGCGUGUAUGAAGAAGGCCUUCGGGUUGUAAAGUACUUUCAGCGAGGAGGAAGGCGUUGUGGUUAAUAACCGCAACGAUUGACGUUACUCGCAGAAGAAGCACCGGCUAACUCCGUGCCAGCAGCCGCGGUAAUACGGAGGGUGCAAGCGUUAAUCGGAAUUACUGGGCGUAAAGCGCACGCAGGCGGUCUGUCAAGUCGGAUGUGAAAUCCCCGGGCUCAACCUGGGAACUGCAUCCGAAACUGGCAGGCU
RNAcentral lists this ribosomal RNA (540 nucleotides) under uncultured bacterium. RNAcentral's name for it is "bacterial SSU rRNA". It matches the Rfam family "Bacterial small subunit ribosomal RNA", at positions 106 to 642 of the family's 1533-position model. The record is from RNAcentral.